CGGACGGGUGAGUAACGCGUGGGUAACCUGCCUCAUACAGGGGGAUAACAGUUAGAGAUGAUUGCUAAUACCGCAUAAGACCACGGAGCCGCAUGGCUCAGUGGGAAAAACUCCGGUGGUAUGAGAUGGACCCGCGUCUGAUUAGGUAGUUGGUGGGGCAACGGCCUACCAAGCCAACGAUCAGUAGCCGACCUGAGAGGGUGACCGGCCACAUUGGGACUGAGACACGGCCCAA
RNAcentral lists this ribosomal RNA (235 nucleotides) under uncultured bacterium. RNAcentral's name for it is "partial 16S ribosomal RNA". It matches the Rfam family "Bacterial small subunit ribosomal RNA", at positions 99 to 334 of the family's 1533-position model. The record is from RNAcentral.